RNAcentral lists this long non-coding RNA (1312 nucleotides) under Callithrix jacchus (white-tufted-ear marmoset). Its description in RNAcentral is "lncRNA (ENSCJAG00000079157.1)". Lineage: Eukaryota; Metazoa; Chordata; Mammalia; Primates; Cebidae. The record is from RNAcentral.
CCCCUCUGCGCACAGCCAGCCAGACACCCACACAGCGGCAGGCGGGGCAGGGCGGCGAGAAGGCCGGGAAAUGCGGGAGGCCGGCGCACCAGCCAGACGUGUGAAGAGGACACACAGGCGUGUGUAGGGAAUGACACACGGACGCGAGCGGGGAGCCACUGACACGUGCAAAGAAGGGUAGACAAACGAGGUAUCAGGGAAGGACAGCCAGAGACUAGGCUGGGCAUUUGAGCAGGGGACCCCUGUCGCAGGAAAAGAGCAAAGGGCAGGAUGGAGAGGGGAACUCAGCGUGGAUGGGUCGCUGGAAGGGGCAGGCGAGCCUGGCAGGGCUUCCCGCCCGCAGUUACUGGCAGGAUCUGAUUCAGGAUCCCACAUUGCUCAUAGCUGUUGUGUUUCCUCAGACUCUUCCAAUUUGCGACAGUUCCUGAUUCUCUCCUUGCUCUCUUGGCCUCUGUACCGUAUUGACUGGAUGACUGUUGCUUUAUAAGAAGUUUUGGAAUCAGAUAAUGUAAGUCCUUUAGCUUUGUUCUCCUUUCUCAAAGCUGUUUGGCUCUUAACUGCAUUCUUUGGAUUUUUAUGUGAAUGUUGGAAUCAGCUUGUCAAUUUAUACAAAAAAGCCAGUUAGGAUUUUGAUUGUGAUUGGGUUGAAUCUACAGAUCAAUUUGGAGAGAAUUUAUAUUUGAAUAAUUCUGAGACUUCCAAUUCAUGAACAUGGUAGAUCUCCCCGUUUGUUUACACCUUCUUUGAUUCCUUUCAUUACUAUUUUGUAGUUUUCAGCAUACAGGUCCUGUACACAUUUUGUUAGAGUGUAACUAAGAAUUUCACUUUUAAAAAUGGCAUCUCUCCAUGUUUAACACUUUGUCUCUCUUGACCCAUCACUUAUAUGUAUUUGCUAGUGAGUCUUCACUUACUAUAGAUUGCUUAUUAUAAAGGAAAUUUUUAAAUCUUGCAGAAGACAAAGGAUUUCAUAAAGUUGCUAGGAGUGUUGUUGGAGAAUGACUCAAAUCUAUGAAGUCAGUGACAAAGGAAGAUCCAGAUGAGUUGGGCAAAUUAACAAAAAGAGUAUUGACAAGGAAGAUAAAAUUUGACUUUGAAGAGGGAACGAUUUAAAUAUCAGAGGAUUGCAAGAAGACUUUGGGAAAACUAAUGAGCCUGGAAUAUUUGUAUAAAAAUUCUCUUUGUGUAAAUCAAAGAUAAAAUACAAGGAAGCUACUUUAUAUUCCUGUAUAUAUAUGUUGGGAAAAUAUCAACACUUGAAUUUUUCUUUCUUUAAGAGUUAGAAAAUGUUUGCAGUAAAAAUAAAAACUUUCUU